Long non-coding RNA from Cimex lectularius (bed bug), 524 nucleotides. RefSeq lists it as uncharacterized. The record is from RefSeq and is a predicted model, not a curated record. The transcript is spliced from 2 exons. Lineage: Eukaryota; Metazoa; Arthropoda; Insecta; Hemiptera; Cimicidae.
UCGUUUCUACCAGAUGUUUAUAAUAAAAACAACAUGUUCCAAAAUUGACACGUCGGAUAUUCAAAAUUUUCGUAAUGUUUAAAUUUGUUUCAAGAAGUCUUGCCAUUCGGCCGAAGCGAGAGGCGUCGAACACGGCCCAGUCGAACACUCCCACGGCGGAUAAAACAGAAAAGAAAGCCAGCUCUGCGGAAAAACAGAUAAUAGGCCCUUGCGGCAAAGACCUGAAAACCUGCCCGUGUAAAGAAUGCAAAGAUAUGAGAGAGAAAAAGGACGAAAAGCCUAAAGCUUAAUUUUCCCCUAUUGUUCAGAAAAAUGUCGCCAAAUAUCUUCCCUCCCUCUCUCUUUCUCAAAAAAAAAAAAAUUAAUCAAGGCUUAGAAUGUUUCAAUAUUAAGUUUUAAAGACCAUGAUAAAUCAUUUUGACACAAUUUAUGCAAAUUGAUUCAAUUUAUUCAAGACCGGGGACCGUUGACAGCUUACACAAUAUGUAAAAACAUUAUACAUAAUAAAUACUUUUGUGAAUCGA